CUCACGUAACGCGUCAGCGCGCCACGCCGAGACGUGCCACGCCCCCUCCCCGAGGAGCGGCUUCUUAAAGGGGCCGCGAUUGUCAUCAACAGGUUCUGACCCCUCCAGCAGGGCAGCCGUCUAGGAUGGAGGAUUUUCCCCCGUGGCCUUGGCCUCCUUGGGACUGCUCUCCAGGCCAGAAUCGCUGGCCCCAGGCAGCGUGGUGACAGACGUCGUGCUCUUGGUGCUCCUUGUGGAAUCACGCCGGCUACCAAAGAUGGAGACACGUCUCCAGAUGACCCGGAUGUUGAGGCUCUCAGAUGAAUGCACCUCAGAGGUUGGGUCCACGAUCCGCAGUUGCUGCUUGCACCUAGGCCUGAGCUUGCUGUCUGCAAUGGAGGAGCGUAGGCUAUCAGCAUGUUGACCAGACUACACGCCUACCCCAGGCCUCACCCAUCCUUCCUUUUUGUUGGAAUUAUUUAUGCAGGAUAUUGUCAUGACACUGAUUUAACCAUAAAUUCCUUUAUUGAAUCCAAAGGCCAAAUGGUAUUUAUACAAUUGCUCUAAACAUGCCUACAAAGCCUAAAUAAUAAGCAAUUUACCACAUCCAGACAAUAACAAAACAUUUAUAAGCAUUUGAUCAUGAUACUUACAAAUGAGCUAAACCCCAGGGGUACUUAGACCCACAUUGGUUGGCUCCAACGUGGCCAGGCAGUUAUUAGCAAUUAAUUCAUUGAGUUAACUUUUUUCUACCCUUUAACAAAUAAGUGAUGUCUGUGCCAGGUAUUGACUUCAGCUAAAAAAACAAUUGGAGACAGGUCACCCUUAUUCCCAGUCUUAAUCCAGAUAAGAUUACAAGCUUCUUUCUACUCUAGGUCUUUCCUCUCUAUCUGUCCCCUCCUUCCUGCUGUCCAACAGUUUUUCCUUUGGACCGGGGUUCACAUGGGCCCUAAUUUUUGCAAUAACACUGGUGUGUGGGGUGGGAAGGGCCAUGUUGGCUCACUGUAAAACAGAUUUUCUUUGUCUGAUUUAAAACCAUCUGCAGUUACCCGUAUUAGUCCGAGGCCUUCUCUUCAGAAAUGUCUCCUUAUUUCAUUAGUUAUUCUUUGAACCAGAGAUGCUCCCUACUUCAUGCCUUCUGGCCCUAUAACUAAUUACUUUCAAGGCCAUUCUUUACCACACACAUUUCUUCAGCCAAACGUAAGCUAACUUGAAUUCUCUAUUUUUUUUAUUUAUUCUACAUUCCCCACUUCAAAACCCUACAUGCUAUGUGGGUUUUACUCCAUUAAGCAUUUCAAAAUACUUCUACAAUUUUAUACAACUGCCAAGCUUUGCAAUAUAGAAUUAACAGAAUAAUCACCAUAAUAACACUAGUAAUUACCAAAAUAUUAAAUGACCACCAUUACUAUACGGAUGUAGUCCCACAUUAUAAGCUUGCUCUGCCAUUACCAGCAUAGACAGUUUUGCUUCACCAACUUCUCAACAGCAUCUCAGCUGUACUGUGCAAUUUGGAGAUUGCUCCCCCAGAGUGAAUUUACAUGCUGGCAACUGUCAGUAAGACAUGACACCUGCCCAUGUAAGUGUCCUCCAGAUGCAAACAGCAGUCCAGGUCUGGGGCUUUCCAGACCUUGUAAUUGCCAUGCAACACCAUAUGUGUUGUAGAGCUUUCCAGUACUUCCACUGGUAACUCUGGCCAAGGCUUUUUUCCCCCACAAACUUCAUGGUAUUGGACUCUUGUUCCUUUCUUACCCUGCACCAAUGAGGAUUACCUCCCUUGUACCUAACAUUUAGUUUUCUGUGGUCAUAAAAGAGGGCAACCUUCUUUGUUCUGUCAUUUAAGGAUGCUUUUACUUUAUAUAGCAUGUAUUUACAAUGUACUAUGCAUGUUAUUGCUUUUGCUCUUUACCUUUCAUGAUAGCAACUUAAUUUUACCUUGUGCAUUUCCAAAAAACAAAAAUACAUCAUGCUUAUAAAACAAUUCAAUGCUUUUUAUCAAUAAAUUCUUUGCUUUGUUCAUU
This is a long non-coding RNA of Trachemys scripta elegans, 1997 nucleotides long. RefSeq lists it as uncharacterized. The record is from RefSeq and is a predicted model, not a curated record. The transcript is spliced from 2 exons. NCBI's taxonomy places the organism in Eukaryota, Metazoa, Chordata, Testudines, Emydidae.